RNAcentral lists this long non-coding RNA (821 nucleotides) under Ananas comosus (pineapple). RNAcentral describes it as "long non-coding RNA (ACOM_LNC021854)". Lineage: Eukaryota; Viridiplantae; Streptophyta; Magnoliopsida; Poales; Bromeliaceae. The record is from RNAcentral.
CACCUAUGUUAUGAUAAAAGCGAAAAGAUGUAGUUCGUCGGAUGCGAAAAUAUUAAAAGAGAUCCAAAAAAGAGAGAAAAAAUAAAGCACACACCACUGGCCUACAUCCACAGACGAAGACAUAGCGAAAAUUUCAUUUUCAUUAUAAUUAAAAUAAUGUACAAAAUAUGUCUCUCUUAUAAAAUCCUAAUCCAAAAUAUACACUUAUACUUCUUCUUAUCGUCGCACCAUACACUCAUACUUCUUCUCAUCUGUCGCACCAAAGAGUAUAUUUAUAAUAGUGGCUAGUGGCUAAAUCUCAAUAAGAUUAGGCAUGUAAUAUGAAACUAUAAUAUAAAACUUAACUUAAUGGAAUAAUCAAAACAGAAUAGAGCUAGAAAAUAUUGCGGUUUUAGAAUUCGAGACAUAUCUAGCAACCUAUUACUAAAGUUUAAUAUGGUAUUAAUCGUGGUGGCCAAAAGUCUAUAUUAACAUCGCUAUGAAAAUUUUUCAUGUUUAUUUUCAUACAUUACGAUAUAUUUUCUAUAACCUUAUCAAAUAUAUAUAUAUAUAUAUAGAGUGAGGCUACUAUGCUAUCGGAAGCAUGGAGCCUUCCGUGCUUCCACCUCGUUUUCGAUGUUGCGACUUUCGAAUCGUCGAUCGGCUCCGUUAAACUUGAUCUAGAGUAUUUGAAGUACCUAGAAAAUAAAUUUUAUGAUUUUACGAUAUCAUUUGCCUAGUGAACGAAGGGGCUCAAAAUCAACGGCUGAAAAUAAAAAUCUUACAAAAAUGUAAUAAUAUGACAUUAAAAUUUUAAAUCAAAGAUAUUGAUCUUGUUUUAU